This 475-nucleotide ribosomal RNA is filed under the name uncultured organism. Its description in RNAcentral is "partial 16S ribosomal RNA". It matches the Rfam family "Bacterial small subunit ribosomal RNA", at positions 333 to 799 of the family's 1533-position model. The record is from RNAcentral.
ACACUCCUGCGGGAGGCAGCAGUGGGGAAUAUUGCACAAUGGGCGCAAGCCUGAUGCAGCCAUGCCGCGUGUAUGAAGAAGGCCUUCGGGUUGUAAAGUACUUUCAGCGGGGAGGAAGGCGAUAAGGUUAAUAACCUUGUCGAUUGACGUUACCCGCAGAAGAAGCACCGGCUAACUCCGUGCCAGCAGCCGCGGUAAUACGGAGGGUGCAAGCGUUAAUCGGAAUUACUGGGCGUAAAGCGCACGCAGGCGGUCUGUCAAGUCGGAUGUGAAAUCCCCGGGCUCAACCUGGGAACUGCAUUCGAAACUGGCAGGCUAGAGUCUUGUAGAGGGGGGUAGAAUUCCAGGUGUAGCGGUGAAAUGCGUAGAGAUCUGGAGGAAUACCGGUGGCGAAGGCGGCCCCCUGGACAAAGACUGACGCUCAGGUGCGAAAGCGUGGGGAGCAAACAGGAUUAGAUACCCGGGUAGUCCCAUG